CCCUGUUUUUUCAAAAACAUUGUUUAAAUAAAUUAUUUUAAAUAAAAUCUGCUCAAUGAAAAUUUUAAAUAGCCGCAGAUAUUCUGUGCUAAGGUAGCAUAAUCAUUUGUUUUUUAAUUAAAAACUAGAAUGAAAGAUUUUACAUUUUAAUUAAUUUAUUUUUUAUAUAAAUUUAAAUUAUAUUAAUUAUAAAAAUAUAAUUUUAAAAUAAAAAGACGAUAAGACCCUAUUGAAUUUUACUUUUGUUUAGCUGGGGCAGCUAGAUAAAUUUUAUUUUAUCUAAUUUUUUUUUAAAAAAUAUCUAAUAUAUUUAAAAUUUUAUUAAAUUACCAUAGGGAUAACAGCGUAAUAUUAUUCUUUAGUUCUUAUUUAAAAUUUGGAUUGCGACCUCGAUGUUUGAAUUAUUAUUUCUUAUUAAAUGCAAUAGUUAAAAAAGUAGGUCUGUUCGACCUUUAAUAUAUUACAUGAUCUGAGU
RNAcentral lists this ribosomal RNA (475 nucleotides) under Chikunia sp. The_698. RNAcentral describes it as "partial large subunit ribosomal RNA". The record is from RNAcentral. Lineage: Eukaryota; Metazoa; Arthropoda; Arachnida; Araneae; Theridiidae.